ACCCUGGUAGUCCACGCUGUAAACGAUGUCGAUUUGGAGGUUGUGCCCUUGAGGCGUGGCUUCCGGAGCUAACGCGUUAAAUCGACCGCCUGGGGAGUACGGCCGCAAGGUUAAAACUCAAAUGAAUUGACGGGGGCCCGCACAAGCGGUGGAGCAUGUGGUUUAAUUCGAUGCAACGCGAAGAACCUUACCUACUCUUGACAUCCAGAGAACUUUCCAGAGAUGGAUUGGUGCCUUCGGGAACUCUGAGACAGGUGCUGCAUGGCUGUCGUCAGCUCGUGUUGUGAAAUGUUGGGUUAAGUCCCGCAACGAGCGCAACCCUUAUCCUUUGUUGCCAGCGGUUCGGCCGGGAACUCAAAGGAGACUGCCAGUGAUAAACUGGAGGAAGGUGGGGAUGACGUCAAGUCAUCAUGGCCCUUACGAGUAGGGCUACACACGUGCUACAAUGGCGUAUACAAAGAGAAGCGACCUCGCGAGAGCAAGCGGACCUCAUAAAGUACGUCGUAGUCCGGAUUGGAGUCUGCAACUCGACUCCAUGAAGUCGGAAUCGCUAGUAAUCGUAGAUCAGAAUGCUACGGUGAAUACGUUCCCGGGCCUUGUACACACCGCCCGUCACACCAUGGGAGUGGGUUGCAAAAGA
RNAcentral lists this ribosomal RNA (640 nucleotides) under Serratia marcescens. RNAcentral describes it as "bacterial SSU rRNA". It matches the Rfam family "Bacterial small subunit ribosomal RNA", at positions 784 to 1424 of the family's 1533-position model. Lineage: Bacteria; Pseudomonadati; Pseudomonadota; Gammaproteobacteria; Enterobacterales; Yersiniaceae. The record is from RNAcentral.